CCUACGGGGGGCUGCAGUGGGGAAUUUUGGACAAUGGGCGCAAGCCUGAUCCAGCCAUGCCGCGUGCAGGAAGAAGGCCUUCGGGUUGUAAACUGCUUUUGUCAGGGAAGAAAUCCUUUGGGUUAAUACCUCGAAGGGAUGACGGUACCUGAAGAAUAAGCACCGGCUAACUACGUGCCAGCAGCCGCGGUAAUACGUAGGGUGCGAGCGUUAAUCGGAAUUACUGGGCGUAAAGCGUGCGCAGGCGGCUUUGCAAGACAGAUGUGAAAUCCCCG
This 275-nucleotide ribosomal RNA is filed under the name uncultured Aquabacterium sp. Its description in RNAcentral is "partial 16S ribosomal RNA". It matches the Rfam family "Bacterial small subunit ribosomal RNA", at positions 338 to 605 of the family's 1533-position model. Lineage: Bacteria; Pseudomonadati; Pseudomonadota; Betaproteobacteria; Burkholderiales; Sphaerotilaceae. The record is from RNAcentral.